UACGUAGGGCGCGAGCGUUGUCCGGAAUUAUUGGGCGUAAAGAGCUCGUAGGCGGCUUGUUGCGUCGACCGUGAAAACCCGGGGCUCAACUUCGGGCUUGCGGUCGAUACGGGCGGGCUAGAGUUCGGUAGGGGAGACUGGAAUUCCUGGUGUAGCGGUGAAAUGCGCAGAUAUCAGGAGGAACACCGGUGGCGAAGGCGGGUCUCUGGGCCGAUACUGACGCUGAGGCACGAAAGCGUGGGGAGCAAACAGG
This 253-nucleotide ribosomal RNA is filed under the name uncultured bacterium. Its description in RNAcentral is "partial 16S ribosomal RNA". It matches the Rfam family "Bacterial small subunit ribosomal RNA", at positions 524 to 776 of the family's 1533-position model. The record is from RNAcentral.